Molecule: non-coding RNA, 1210 nt
Organism: Paramuricea clavata
Lineage: Eukaryota; Metazoa; Cnidaria; Anthozoa; Malacalcyonacea; Plexauridae
Source: the annotation of a GenBank genome assembly
GACUGGAACUGGCAUCCAAUACUCUACAAUUUCCGCCAUCUUGGAUUCUUGGUUUUACUUUUUCGACUCAAGUUCUCGCUCCAGUAUGUAUAGAGCUCAUUGAUUUCCGUUUGAUUGGACGAGUCCAGGCCUCUCAGUUUUAAGGAAAUUUCCUUAAACUGAGAAAAUUAUCAGUUUUUAAGGAGACUUUUAAGGAAAUAUAUAAUUUUUAAGGAAUUUUUAGUUUUUAUCUAAUAUUUGAAAAUUGAUUGAAAUAAUAUUUAAAUAUUCAGUCAAUUUAGCUCUAUUUAUGCAAAAAUACUUUUUAAAAACGCAGGAAAUGCAGUCUUAUGCAUUCAGGACUUGCAAAAAUUUUUCGAAGGAAGAUAUUCCUUGACCAACCAUGUGAAAUCCAUGCUGCUCAAAAUCCCAAUUCCCGAAUGAGACAAAAAUUCUGGGAACUUAACUUUGUAAUUCUCAAUCAUUCAGGCCAUAAAUUACCAAAAAACAUGCCUGCCCCACGUUUAAGGAAAUUUUACUAAAUCUGAGGAACUUUUUACCGAGACAAUGGGAAAUUUUUACCAGGCCAUGGGAAAUGAGAGCCGACUGGACGCGUCUGUCGUGGCUAAAUCGUAAUCCCCAAUGUAAAGAAAAAGUCGAUAUGUCAUCUUGCCGUUUUUGGGUGCUGCAUGCCAAUUAGUCCAGUGGCGAGCUAGCCAUGACAAGUGGUCAUGCUAUACUAAUAAACUCGCACCUAAGUAUAGGUUAAAGACAAUAGAUAAAUUUAGCGAACGUUGUUCACAUCGUCGCUAGCCAAUUCACAACUUUAGAUCACUCACAAGUUAACUGGGCAUGUGAGUAAUCUCUAGAAUUGUGAAUUGGGGAACCAAACGUUAGCCAAACUUGUCUGCACAUUUCUAAAGGUUUGAAUUCAAAUGCAAAUCAUUAAAAAUUUGCAUGCAUGACCUGUUGCUAUGGCUAUCUUCUACUGCAUUGAAUCAGUCUAUAUACUGUUUGCCAAGAUAUAUUGGCCACCUUGAAGCAACCAAUUGGGCUUCAGCCUUCAACAUUUAACAUUUUAUCUAAUAUUUAGUAUUUUUAAAAUAAUAUUGCAAUAAUUAUUACAAUCUAUAUAAAACUUUUGACAUAUAAGAGCUUUUAGUUGCACCUGUUUGGUGGAUGUUCAAUUACCUAGACGUCAAAUGUAGUUCACUGAUUUAUUAGCUGUGAU